GCAGCAGACGACAAUCGAUUCGUGUCCCUCUCUGGUGAACUGUUUGUUGACACAGUACUCAGUCUUCUUCUUUCCA
Molecule: non-coding RNA, 76 nt
Organism: Caenorhabditis elegans
Lineage: Eukaryota; Metazoa; Nematoda; Chromadorea; Rhabditida; Rhabditidae
Source: Ensembl